GAUGAACGCUGGCGGCGUGCCUAAUACAUGCAAGUCGAGCGAACAGACGAGGAGCUUUCUCCUCGGACGUGAUCGGCGGACGGGUGAGUAACACGUGGAUAACCUACCUCUAAGACUGGGAUAACUUCGGGAAACCGGAGCUAAUACCAGGUAAUAUAUUGAACCGCAUGGUUCAAUAGUGAAAGACGGUUUUGCUGUCACUUGUAGAUGGAUCCGCGCCGCAUUAGCUAGUUGGUAAGGUAACGGCUUACCAAGGCAACGAUGAGUAGCCGACCUGAGAGGGUGAUGGGCCACACUGGAACUGAGACACGGUCCCGAAUCCUACGGGAGGCAGCAGUAGGGAAUCUUCCGCAAUGGGCGAAAGACUGACGGAGCAACGACGCGUGAGUGAUGAAGGUCUUCGGAUCGUAAAACUCUGUUAUUAGGGAAGAACCAAUGUGUAAGUAACUAUGCACGUCUUGACGGUACCUAAUCAGAAAGCCACGGCUAACUACGUG
This 497-nucleotide ribosomal RNA is filed under the name uncultured bacterium. RNAcentral's name for it is "partial 16S ribosomal RNA". It matches the Rfam family "Bacterial small subunit ribosomal RNA", at positions 28 to 507 of the family's 1533-position model. The record is from RNAcentral.